Molecule: ribosomal RNA, 274 nt
Filed under: Rhizophagus irregularis
Lineage: Eukaryota; Fungi; Glomeromycota; Glomeromycetes; Glomerales; Glomeraceae
Source: RNAcentral
CAGUCGUACCGGCGGAUAAUCAGCCUUUCGGGUGCGAUUCUGUGGGGCGUGAGGAGCUUAACCGCCUUCAUGUUUUGCAUAUUCGUGCACAUUUGGUGUACUUGUCCGUGUGGUGGGUUAACAUCAACUUCGGUCGUCAUAAAAUGAUUUGAGGAAUGUGACAGCUUGCUGUGUUAUAGCCUCUUGUCGUACACGGUGCUUGGGAUUGAGGACUGCAGCACGCCUUUUGGUCGGGGUUCUCCCACGCCACGUGCUUAGGAUGCUGGCGUAAUGG